CCUGGUUGAUCCUGCCAGUAGUCAUAUGCUUGUGUUAAAGAUUAAGCCAUGCAUGUCUAAGAAUCAAUUUCUUGAAAGUUAAUCUGCGAAUGGCUCAUUAUAUCAGUUAUAGUUUAUUUGAUGAAAACCAGUUACUUGGAUAACCGUAGUAACCUAGGGCUAAUACAUGCACGAUGUUUCCGACUGUGGCGGGUUCGCCCGUUGCGGAAGGGAUGCACUUGUUAGCUUUGCAAGCCAAUGCGGGUCUUCGGGCCCGGUUCACUGGCGAGUCAUAACAAUUGAGCGAAUCGCACGGCCUUUUAGCGCUGGCGAUGCUUCAUUCAAAUUUCUGCCCUAUCAACUUUCGAUGGUAGGAUCGGGGCCUACCAUGGUCGUAACGGGUAACGGGGAAUUAGGGUUUGAUUCCGGAGAGGGAGCUCGAGAAAUGGCUACCACUUCUAAGGAAGGCAGCAGGCGCGCAAAUUACCCACUCUUGACACGAGGAGGUAGUGACAACAAAUAACAAUACAGGUCCCGAAUGGGUCUUGUAAUUGGAAUGAGUUUAAUUUAAACCCCUUAAUGAGGAGCAACUGGAGGGCAAGUCUGGUGCCAGCAGCCGCGGUAAUUCCAGCUCCAGUAGCGUAUAUUAAAGCUGUUGCGGUUAAAAAGCUCGUAGUUGGAUUUCGGGGCUUUUUUUUGGGAGGCUCGGUCGGCCCAAAGGGUCUGUACUGGCCACCCGGUCCCUACCUUCUGGAUGCUCGUCGCUGCGCUUAACUGAGUGGCGAUCAAAGGUCGGUUCGGGUUUCGUUUCGGCGGGACCUGUUCUGGCUGGAGUUCCAGAUCGUUUACUUUGAAAAAAUUAGAGUGUUCAAAGCAGGCGGUUUUUUGCCUUGAAUACAUUAGCAUGGGAUAAUGCGAUAGGACUCUGUGCCUAUUUCGUUGGUUUCUGGGUGACGGAGUAAUGAUUAAUAGGGAUAGUUGGGGUGAUUAAUAUUUAAUUGUCAGAGGUGAAAUUCUUGGAUUUUUGAAAGAUUAACUUCUGCGAAAGCAUUUCACAAGGAUGUUUUCAUUAAUCAAGAACGAAAGUUGGGGGAUCGAAGACGAUCAGAUACCGUCGUAGUCUCAACCAUAAACUAUGCCGACCAGGGAUCGGGAGAUGUUUAAUGUAAGACUCCCCCGGCACCUUGUGAGAAAUCAUAAGUGUUUGGGCUUCGGGGGGAGUAUGGUCGCAAGGCUGAAACUUAAAGGAAUUGACGGAAGGGCACCACCAGGAGUGGAGCCUGCGGC
This 1266-nucleotide ribosomal RNA is filed under the name metagenome. Its description in RNAcentral is "SSU rRNA". It matches the Rfam family "Eukaryotic small subunit ribosomal RNA", at positions 3 to 1189 of the family's 1831-position model. The record is from RNAcentral.